This 475-nucleotide ribosomal RNA is filed under the name uncultured bacterium. Its description in RNAcentral is "bacterial SSU rRNA". It matches the Rfam family "Bacterial small subunit ribosomal RNA", at positions 34 to 507 of the family's 1533-position model. The record is from RNAcentral.
CGCUGGCGGCAUGCCUUACACAUGCAAGUCGAACGGCAGCACGGGAGCAAUCCUGGUGGCGAGUGGCGAACGGGUGAGUAAUAUAUCGGAACGUGCCCAGUCGUGGGGGAUAACGUAGCGAAAGCUACGCUAAUACCGCAUACGAUCUAUGGAUGAAAGCGGGGAUCGCAAGACCUCGCGCGAUUGGAGCGGCCGAUAUCAGAUUAGGUAGUUGGUGAGGUAAAGGCUCACCAAGCCGACGAUCUGUAGCUGGUCUGAGAGGACGACCAGCCACACUGGGACUGAGACACGGCCCAGACUCCUACGGGAGGCAGCAGUGGGAAUUUUGGACAAUGGGCGCAAGCCUGAUCCAGCAAUGCCGCGUGCAGGAUGAAGGCCUUCGGGUUGUAAACUGCUUUGUACGGAACGAAACGGUGAGCUCUAAUACAGUUUGCUAAUGACGGUACCGUAAGAAUAAGCACCGGCUAACUACGUG